GAAUCGUUAGCACGCCGGACGAAAUGCUUAGCAGUGUUUCGUCUACCUUUACGUUCUAAGUUCAAAUUCCGCCGAGGUCGACUUUGCCUUUCAUCCUUUCGGGGUCUAUAAAUUAAGUAUAGUUGCUGGGUCGAUCUAAGCGACUGACCCCCUCGCUCAAAAUUUCGGGCCUUCUGCCGAGAGUAGAAAA
Long non-coding RNA from Octopus sinensis (East Asian common octopus), 190 nucleotides. RefSeq lists it as uncharacterized. Lineage: Eukaryota; Metazoa; Mollusca; Cephalopoda; Octopoda; Octopodidae. The transcript is spliced from 2 exons. The record is from RefSeq and is a predicted model, not a curated record.